Molecule: ribosomal RNA, 253 nt
Filed under: uncultured bacterium
Lineage: Bacteria
Description: partial 16S ribosomal RNA
Rfam family: Bacterial small subunit ribosomal RNA
Source: RNAcentral
UACGGGGGGGGCAAGCGUUGUUCGGAAUUACUGGGCGUAAAGGGCCAGUAGGCGGCCAACUAAGUCGGAUGUGAAAUCCCCAGGCUUAACCUGGGAACUGCAUCCGAUACUGGAUGGCUUGAAUUCGGGAGAGGGAUGCAGAAUUCCAGGUGUAGCGGUGAAAUGCGUAGAGAUCGGGAGGAACACCUGUGGCGAAGGCGGCCACCUGGGCCGACCCUGACGCUGAGGCGCGAAGGCGUGGGGAGCGAACGGG